Molecule: ribosomal RNA, 549 nt
Filed under: uncultured archaeon
Lineage: Archaea
Description: bacterial SSU rRNA
Rfam family: Archaeal small subunit ribosomal RNA
Source: RNAcentral
GCGCAGCAGGCGCGAAAACUUUACAAUGCGGGAAACCGUGAUAAGGGGACACCGAGUGCCAGCAUCCUAUGCUGGCUGUCCGGGUGUGUAAAAUACACCUGUUAGCAAGGGCCGGGCAAGACCGGUGCCAGCCGCCGCGGUAACACCGGCGGCCCGAGUGGUGAUCGUGAUUAUUGGGUCUAAAGGGUCCGUAGCCGGUUUGGUCAGUCCUCCGGGAAAUCUGACAGCUUAACUGUUAGGCUUUCGGAGGAUACUGCCAGACUUGGAACCGGGAGAGGUAAGAGGUACUACAGGGGUAGGAGUGAAAUCUUGUAAUCCCUGUGGGACCACCUGUGGCGAAGGCGUCUUACCAGAACGGGUUCGACGGUGAGGGACGAAAGCUGGGGGCACGAACCGGAUUAGAUACCCGGGUAGUCCCAGCCGUAAACGAUGCUCGCUAGGUGUCAGGCAUGGCGCGACCGUGUCUGGUGCCGCAGGGAAGCCGUGAAGCGAGCCACCUGGGAAGUACGGCCGCAAGGCUGAAACUUAAAGGAAUUGGCGGGGGAGCAC